RNAcentral lists this ribosomal RNA (795 nucleotides) under uncultured bacterium. RNAcentral's name for it is "bacterial SSU rRNA". It matches the Rfam family "Bacterial small subunit ribosomal RNA", at positions 8 to 796 of the family's 1533-position model. The record is from RNAcentral.
AGAGUUUGAUCAUGGCUCAGAUUGAACGCUGGCGGCGUGCCUAACACAUGCAAGUCGAGCGGUAACAGGUGUAGCAAUACAUGCUGACGAGCGACGAACGGGUGAGUAAUGCUUCGGAAUCUACCCUCUAGUGGGGAAUAACCAGCCGAAAGGUUGGCUAAUACCGCAUACGUCCUACGGGAGAAAGCAGGGGAUCGUAAGACCUUGCGCUGAUGGAUGAGCCGAAGUCGGAUUAGCUAGUUGGUGAGGUAACGGCUCACCAAGGCGACGAUCCGUAGCUGGUCUGAGAGGACGACCAGCCACACUGGGACUGAGACACGGCCCAGACUCCUACGGGAGGCAGCAGUGGGGAAUAUUGGACAAUGGGGGCAACCCUGAUCCAGCGACGCCGCGUGUGUGAAGAAGGCCUGCGGGUUGUAAAGCACUUUUAGUGGGGAUGAAAUGUGCAGGGUUAAUACCUCUGCAUUUUGACCUAACCCACAGAAAAAGCACCGGCUAACUCUGUGCCAGCAGCCGCGGUAAUACAGAGGGUGCAAGCGUUAAUCGGAAUUACUGGGCGUAAAGCGUGCGCAGACGGUUAUAUAAGUCGGGUGUGAAAGCCCCGGGCUCAACCUGGGAAUUGCAUUCGAGACUGUGUAGCUAGGGUACGGAAGAGGGAAGCGGAAUUUCAGGUGUAGCGGUGAAAUGCGUAGAUAUCUGAAGGAACACCAGUGGCGAAAGCGGCUUCCUGGUCCAGUACCGACGUUCAGGCACGAAAGCGUGGGGAGCAAACAGGAUUAGAUACCCUAGUAGUCC